Molecule: ribosomal RNA, 292 nt
Filed under: uncultured bacterium
Lineage: Bacteria
Description: partial 16S ribosomal RNA
Rfam family: Bacterial small subunit ribosomal RNA
Source: RNAcentral
GUGUCAGCAGCCGCGGUAAUACGUAGGAUCCGAGCGUUGUCCGGAAUUACUGGGUGUAAAGGGCGUGUAGGUGGAGCUUUAAGUCGGUGGUGAAAGCCUGCAGCUUAACUGCAGAAUUGCCAUCGAUACUGGGGCUCUUGAGUACGGCAGAGGGAAAUGGAAUUCAUGGUGUAGCGGUGAAAUGUGUAGAUAUCAUGAAGAACACCGGUAGCGAAGGCGGUUUCCUGGUCCGUAACUGACACUGAGGCGCGAAAGCGUGGGGAGCAAACAGGAUUAGAUACCCCAGUAGUCC